GUAGUUAAACAUCUCAGUUUUAAUUAUCUGUCUUUAAUACAGAUGUGAUAGGACUUGUUCAGAGAUAAGCAAUUUGAAAAUUAUCCAACCUUUUGUUGCAGAUUCAGACAAAUAAAAAGGAUUGUGUACGCAUAUAGAGCACAAUAAUACCAUGCAAAUAGACAUAUACUUAAUCCUGUUCUUUUUUUUUUAAAUAAAAAAAAUAGUGUUUUUUUCAUGUUAUGCUUCAGCUCUUAAAUUCUGUUCAACACAUUGUAUGGGGCAUUUAAUGAAUUGCUUUAAAAAAAAUCAAAAAUCCUCAUACAGUACUGCUUGAGGAAAUAUGUUGAUCUGUAUUACCCAUUCAAUUUUUUAUUUUACUGGUGUUUAAUAAUUUGUUUAUUUCACAAACGUUUGAUUUGUAUUCUGAUCAUGUUGUUCUUUGAUAAGGUCAGAUUUCUCAUCAACAUGUCUAUCUUAAUUAAGGUCUGUGGUAAUUACCUCAUUGUUGUUCCUUAAAUGGUUCUUAAACCUUUAAAUGCCUCCAAGAAGUAAGAAGUAUUAAGAUAUACGCUUGCCAUUCCAUAUGUUCAUCCAAGAACUUUCAACUGUUCUUAACUGCUUGGUGGAUUCGUUUCGAACUGUCACAGCUGAAUGGCUUGAAUGUUAAGAUUAUGAAAAAAGAAGAGUUUCAGCUGCAACCAGCUGUGGCACUUUUUUAUGUCCCCCGCUAUAUUAGUGGGGACAUAUUGUUUUGCCCUGUCUGUUGGUUGGUCUGUUGGUUGGUCUGUUGGUUGGUUGGUUUGCGCCAACUUUAACAUUUUGCAAUAACUUUUGCAUUAUUGAAUAUAGCAACUUGAUAUUUGGCAUGCAUGUGUAUCUCCUGGAGCUGCACAUUUUGAGUGGUGAAAGGUCAAGGUCAUCCUUCAAGGUCAGAGGUCAAAUAUAUGUGGCCAAAAUCGCUUAUUUUAUGAAUACUUUUGCAAUAUUGAAGAUAGCAACUUGAUAUUUGGCAUGCAUGUGUAUCUCAUGGAGCUGCACAUUUUGAGUGGUGAAAGGUCAAGGUCAAGGUCAUCCUUCAAGGUCAGAGGUCAAAUAUAUGUGGCCCAAAUCGCUUAUUUUAUGAAUACUUUUGCAAUAUUGAAGAUAGCAACUUGAUAUUUGGCAUGCAUGUGUAUCUCAUGGAGCUGCACAUUUUGAGUGGUGAAAGGUCAAGGUCAAGGUCAUCCUUCAAGGUCAAAUAUAUGGGUCAAAAUUGCUCAUGUUAUGUCACUUCUGCAAUAUUGAAGCUAGCAAUUUUAUAUUUGAAAUGCAUGUGUAUCUCAUGGAGCUGCACAUUUUGAGUGGUGACGGGUCAAGGUCUUCCUUCAAGGUCAAACGUCAUAUAGGGGGACAUUGUGUUUCACAAACGCAUCUUGUUUUACUAUCGAAAGUAUAGUUAGAACCAAAUGAAUUUGCUCUAAACUUGGCUUAGACUUCUUGGGAGCUUUUGCUUAACAUUUUACAAUAGAAUGACCUUAACUUAUUUAUUACUAGCGUCUAGACAAAAGGCUUUGGCAAACAGCGUAGACCCAGAUGAGACGCCGCAUGAUGCGGCGUCUCAUCAGGGUCUGUGCUGUUUGCUUAAAGGAGUUUCUUUAAGAAAUAUUUUAAAUAUAGGAAUAAAUAUACUAGACAUCCUUAAUUUUGGAAAUAAAUUGAUGCAAUUUAGAAGGAUGGGAGAGUCCACCAGGCAUUAAAGGGUUAAUUUGUACCAGUAGGUGAUCAUAAAAGUAGAAAGUACCAGAUGGACUUCCUCUGGCUUCUUCACAAAUAUCUUCCAAAAAUGAACUGAACAUGUUCUUUAAAUUUUUUAAACAUAUGAAGUCAGUCAUCAGAAUGCAAGUCCUUUUUGCAUUACACUGUAUAUUGAUUGUUUUAAAAUGAACAUUUAUCACAGAUGAGUUCAUGAUUCAUUCUAAAAUAUUAAAACCACUUUCAUUGUUGUCCAUUUUGUAGAACUUAAGGCCACGACUUUUAUAUUUCUUGGUUUACAAAACCGCCGACCCUAAUUUUUGGAAAAUGGGAAACAAAAUAAAAUCGGAAAAUCGUCUUUUUUUUUAAUAUUUUAUUCCCGACCGCACUUCAAAAUGAGCGAAAUGAGAAAAAAACGAUCCGGUUUGAGUACGGUUGCGAAUAAAAUCAAGUAAGUACAAUCAACGAUUGGUUCACAUAUAUUGCAGAGAUCGGGAUAUUUUUCAAUGUGACACAUUAUGUACCAGUCCUUUUAUGGGCACUUCUCAAAAUUUAUUUCGGGUAAAAAUUACAGACAAUAAGAAAAUCAGCGUCAUUCAAAUGUCGACCCCAUCAAAAUUUAUUUCCGUGUCUGUGACGCAACUAUAUUGUUUAACAUGUUAAUUACAAUGUAUAUUAAACAAACCCGAUAGUAUUUGAUAAUAAGUAUAAGUAAUCCAUUAAAACACUGCCAUUAUUUACGAUAUAUGUGUUUAGGAAUUUUGUAAACACGUCCGCCAUAGUUUAUAGGAACUGUACAGAAAGUUUGGAAAUCGGAACAAAUCGGUAUAUCUCGGAAAAUCAUUGAUAAAUGUAUUUGUCGUUUCAAUGCUUAGGGCCGAGUAAUUUCGGCAAAUCGGAACUCAACUUGUGUAAAACACUAGCUCAAUUAACCGUUAAACUCCGCCUCCGUUCUCUGCAAAAGAUUCGAAGGCGGAGCUAUGCACGUGCUUUUAUUAAAUUGGAGGAUUGCAAUUGAGAAACAAACACACGAUUGGUUCGGCAUGUUGAUUGCUAGACAAAGGAAGCCAAUUUUUUCGGCGCGAAAUUUGUCGCUUAAUUGCUUCCGACAGAAAGCGGCUUUCCUUUGAUGACGUCAAACUGUCAAUUCACACAGACUGCACAUUUUCGGAAGACUUUAACUGACUCCUUGUUUACAAUUCCAGUAAAAAAAAACACUUGCUAACAUUAAACUUUGGAUUAAAUUAUCAAAAUAAAGCAAAAGCGAAGUUGACAAAUAUGAUUAAAUUAAUUCGCGUCAGUUCAAAUAAGACGUGUUGCGUUGUAAAUCAACGAGUUUUCAUGACAACAACUUUGACAAACAUUACCGUGACGACGCAUGGAUCGAUCUACCUCGAUUUUUUUUUUCAUGUACGAUCUCAUAAGUCGAGUAAGAGCAAACACAUACCGGGUAAUUUGUGUAUGAGUAGUUUAUCUUAUAUAAGAUUUAUGCAACGGGCAUCGCAUUGCGUAAUGGUGCGCAUCCAAUUAUGGAAAUGAAGCGCAGUUUUUCGUUUUAAUGGGAGAAGAACGCAUGUCAUGUAAUGGAGUGUUUAAAAUUGCCUGAUGUUGCAUAAGGUGCUGUUAGGACUCAUUUCAUUUGAAGAUAUAGAUGUGUUUCAUUGCAUAAUUUGAUUUUUUGUCUCUGUGUUAAGGUUAUAAAAGAUAUGUUGUCUUUGUUCUGAUGUUAUUAGCAUUAACUUUUUUUUCCAAUGAUGUUUUUUUUUUUUUUUUUCGACCGCCCGAUGGACCAUUUUCAAAAUAAUUUUUGUAAACCAAUAAAAAAAAAGUCGUGGCCUAACUUCUUAUUCCCAAGUUGUAUUAUGGCAUUUUUCUACUCUUUUACAGAGAAAUGUAGCUUCUUAGGUUUAUUUUACCUUCACACUUGCAUGAACAAGUGAUAAGUUACAGUUGGCUGUGCUUAUCCAAUAAAGCGUUAUAGGUACAUUGUACUAGCUUGAUUAAUUGAUUACUUAGCCAAAUGAACAGCAAGUCACUGUUGCUAGAUUGCUGUCUGGGGAUGUCUUAUUCUGGAGUGUUCUAUAUAUUUGAAAGCUCAAAAAAUAGGGGAUGCUACCCUGGUGACACAUGUAAAAUUUUUUCAAAUUAACAUACCGUAAAAACUAUAGUUAUUGUAAUUGGAUGAACCUUCUAAUGAUAUAUCAUUUGGUUCUUUGUUGUUUGUUUACAGAUUAGAAUAGGAUUUUACAAAAUUAUGGAGAUCUUGAUUACAGCAGAUGUUUAUAAAGUUGUAUGUAUAUUUGUGCUUAUGGAUUUAUUUUUUUAUAAAGACAGUUCAGGUGUAAUUUAUAAGAUCUUUACUUAUUGGAAUGUGCAGUAAAAUUGCAUUUGGCUUUUACUGUUGUAUGAUUUUAAUUUUACUAAUUUUAAUUUAUUGAAUGGAAGUGAAUGUUGAUAUAGGAAUUCGUCCUUCUGCAUUUAAAUGAUGUAACUGUAUUUGAAACUCAUUACUAUGCUUUGAUGUUAUUUAUCAUUUUAUUCAUUUAAUACAAAAUGAUUGCAUGGAUUUAAUGCAUGUAUAGUUGUGAACUUAAAAAAACCAGAAAGAACUGUUUAAAAUUAAUAUAAAAAAGAAUAAUACAGGUUAAUAUGUGAAUUAUUUAACAAAUAUCAAGCAUACUUGUACACGUUACAUUAUUAUCCCCACGUUUUUUGGAGAAAAAGUGGGGAUAUUGUAUUGAUGUGCGUCUGUCCAUUCGUCCGUCCGUCCGUCCGUCCUGGCCACCUGCUCCUCCUACACUAUUAGCACUAGAACUUUGAAACUUACAUACAUGGUAGCUAUGAGCAUAUGUGCGACGGUGACAGUGACGGAAUUUUGAUCUGACCCCUGGGUCAAAAGUUAUGGGGGUUGGGGUGGGGCGGGGUCAGAGAUUUUUACUUAUUUUUUUAUGGUAUUUGACAUUAACUUCUUCAUUUCUGCACCGAUUUACUUCAAAUUGAUACUGAGCCUCUGUUAUGACACUAAGGUCAAUCUAAACAAUGCAUGGCCCCAUUACCAACCCUGGGGCGCCCUGGCCACAUAGGCCAUGCCCACCCAAAAUUGCCUUUUACUAUAAUUUCUUCAUUUCUACACCGAUUCACUUCAAAUUGAUACUGAACCUCUCUUAUGACAAUACGGUCAAUCUCAGCUAUGCAUGUCCCCAUUACCAACCCUAUGGCACCCCAACCACAUAGGCCACGCCCACCCAAAAUUGCCUUUUACUAUAAUUUAUUCAUUUCUACACCAAUUCACUUCAAAUUGAUACUGAACCUCUCUUAUGACAAUACGGUCAAUCUCAGCUAUGCAUGGCCCCAUUACAAAGCCUGGGGCGCCCCGCCCACAUAGGCCACGCCCACCCAAAAUUGCCUUUUACUAUAAUUUCUUCAUUUCUACACCAAUUCACUUCAAAUUGAUACUGAACCUCUCUUAUGAUAAUACAGUUAAUCUCAACUAUGCAUGGCCCCAUUACCAAGCCUGGGGCGCCCCGCCCACAUAGGCCACGCCCACCUAAAAUUGCCUUUUACUAUAAUUUCUUCAUUUUUACACUGAUUCACUUCAAAUUGAUACUGGACCUCUUUUAUGACAAUACGGUCAAUCUCCACUAUGCAUGGCGCCAUUACCAACCCUGGGGCGCCCCGCCCACAUAGGCCACGCCCACCCAAAAUUGCCUUUUACUAUAAUUUCUUCAUUUCUACACCGAUUUACUUCAAAUUGAUACUGAACAUCUCUUAUGACAAUACAGUCAAUCUCAACUAUGUAAGGCCCCAUUACCAACCCUGGGUCACCCCACCCAUAAUAGGCCACACCCACCCAAAAUUGUCUUUUACUAUAACUUCUUCAUUUCUACACUGAUUCACUUCUAAUUGAUACUGAACUUCUCUUAUGACAAUACCGUCAAUCUCAACUAUGUAUGGUCCCAUUACCAACCCUGGGGCGCCCCGCCCAUAAUAGGCCACACCCACAUAGGCCACGCCCACCCAAAAUUGCCUUUUACUAUAAUUUCUUCAUUUCUACACUGUUUCACUUCAAAUUGAUACUGAACCUCUCUUAUGACAAUACAGUUAAUCUCAUCUAUGCAUGGCCCCAUUACAAACCCUAGGGCGUCCCGCCCACAUAGGCCACGCCCACCCAAAAUUGCCUUUUACUAUAAUAUCUUCAUUUCUACACCGAUUCACUUCAUAUUGAUACUGGACCUCUAUUAUGACAAUACGGUCAAUCUCAACUAUGCAUGGCACCAUUACCAACCCUGGGGCGCCCCGCCCACAUAGGCCACGCCCACCCAAAAUUGCCUUUUAAUUUAAUUUCUUCUUUUCUACACUGAUUCACUUCAAAUUGAUACUGAACAUCUCUUAUGACAAUAAGGUCAAUCUCAACUAUGUAUGGCCCCUUUACCAACCCUAGGGUGCCCCGCCCAUAAAAGGCGACACCCACCCAAAAUUGUCUUUUACUAUAAUUUCUUCAUUUCUACACCGAUUCACUUCUAAUUGAUACUGAACUUCUCUUAUGACAAUAUGGUCAAUCUCAACUAUGCAUGGACCCAUUACCAACCAUGGGGCGCCCCUGGGUCAAACAUGCGGCGUGGGGAUACGCGUCGGCCUCUGCCGCACCAUUUCUAGUUAUUAUUUAGCGAUUACCUGUAAUAACUGUACAACACUUAUAUACACGUGGUCACACUCAAAUUUAUGUGCAAUAAUUCAAUGUAAUAACAGUUUAACAUCAAAAAGAGGUACUUCCAAAAAAUGUAUCCUUUCAGUUUUAAAUGAUUGUUGCUUAAAAAAACUUAUAAUUACCUUGGUGUAAACUAUCUUUUAGUGCGUCAUACAAUAUUGUUCAUACCAGUAUUUAAGUACAUGAAUGGUGUAAAAUGAUAAUGAUCAGAAUAUAACAGGCCAUUAUUAAAAUAUAUUUGUUUUGAUGUAUUGUUCAUGUAAAGAUUAAUGGUAAUUGUUUAUUUUGGACCGGUUAGCACAUAUGAUAAUUAUUAUAACUGGUAUUUGUUGUUUUGGUUGUCCUGAAAUCCAUUAGUUAAUUUAUUAUAAGAUUAAUCAUUAACUUUGAAAAUGUUCACGAAUUUAUUUAUUCAUGUUUACAUGUGGGCAAGUUGCUUACAAAUUAAGCAUGCUGUUGAAACAUCGGAUAUUAAACGAUCAGAUUUGUCAA
Long non-coding RNA from Dreissena polymorpha, 6913 nucleotides. RefSeq lists it as uncharacterized. Lineage: Eukaryota; Metazoa; Mollusca; Bivalvia; Myida; Dreissenidae. The transcript is spliced from 2 exons. The record is from RefSeq and is a predicted model, not a curated record.